Molecule: long non-coding RNA, 553 nt
Filed under: Setaria italica (foxtail millet)
Lineage: Eukaryota; Viridiplantae; Streptophyta; Magnoliopsida; Poales; Poaceae
Description: long non-coding RNA (SITA_LNC006050)
Source: RNAcentral
CAAGAUGACGCUCCACUUCACCCUCGCCGCCGCCGGCGCCGCCCUCCCACGCGCCCUCGCCGACGCCAUCCCGUUCGCCUCCGCCAGGAUCCAGGAGAUCCUCUCCCGCCUCCCCGUCCCGGCCGGCUCCCCCGCCGCCGCGGCCGUGCGCUCCACCCUCGCCGCAUGCGAGGCCGCGCCGGUCCCCGGUGUGGAGGCCCUGCGCUGCGUCACCUCCCCAGACUCCAUGGCCGACCUCGCCGCCUCCAUCCUCGGCACCCGGAACAUCCGCGCGGCGGCGACCAAGCUCACCAGCACGGAAGGCGCGACGACGAGGCAGGAGUACACGAUGGUGUCCGUCAGGCCCCUGCCGGUGGCCGGCGGCGACAUGGUUGCCUGCCACCGUAUGCCCUAUCCGUACGCCGUGUUCGCGUGCCACGCAACCACCGCCGCCGUGUACGCGGUGAGCCUCGCCGGCGCCGACGGGACGACGGCCAAGGGGGAGGCCCUGGCGGCGUGCCACGCGGACGCGUUCCCGGGUAUCUCGCAGUCGGCGUACGAGAAGCUCGGCGUG